This 915-nucleotide unclassified non-coding RNA is filed under the name Hevea brasiliensis (rubber tree). The record is from RNAcentral. Lineage: Eukaryota; Viridiplantae; Streptophyta; Magnoliopsida; Malpighiales; Euphorbiaceae.
ACCCCCAGUUGCCAGUAAAACCUGUCACACAGUUUAACAUUGAAAUUAGUCUAUAAACUGCUGAACAAGAGUGUCCGAAAAGAAAUCACAUCAAGCAAAACCUAUGUUAUUGGCAAUUGCUUAUGAGAAUAUAUGUUAACACAUGAUCCUCAACUUACAAACUAAAUAAAAAAAAAAAUCCAACCUACACAAAAUAAUAAAUAAAAUACCAAACUUUUGGGUUGAAUCAGUAGAUUCAGGUAAUUUUAUUCCAUAUCAGUAUGCUACUUGCACUAACUCUGGAAACAGAUAAAAAAGAAAAAAUUGGAAAGUUUCAUCUAUGAAAUACUUCAUUGCAAAAAGAAAUCAAUGGCACUAAUAUUGCUCUUAUUAUAAAAUACAGAAAAAUUUUCAGGAAGAAAUGACCAGAAUUCUAACCCAAUCCCAAAAUUCAAUCUAGAGCUACUAUCUGAUCAUUUUGUUACCCCAAAAAUAUCUGAUACUUUUAUGAUCUAUUUACUCUGUUUACAUGAACCAUUGGAAUUAUUUUAAGAUUUUAUUGUUUUAGUUCUCACUUAAUCUAACUUUGCUUUAUAGUUUAAUGACUUUAUUUAUGCACAUUAUAGAUAGAACCAUAGAGAUGCAUAUCUGGAAGCCUAAAGAAGAAAAAGAACGUCCCAAGUGCUUUUGUUGGAAAUUUUUUUCCGUGUAGUCAAGCUUCCUAGUUCUAUCAUAAAAAAAGGCUUCCCAGUUCCUAGUUCCUUCCCAUAUUCUGACACUAUUGUCUAUGAUUAGAUUGUAGUAGUAAUCAUUUUCUCAUUAGCACUAAAAAUUCAGCUUAUCGUAAAUUACAUUGUCCAUAAUCAGGUAUCCCAGACUCACAAACCCAGAGCAGGAGAAAUUGUGGGAAACAAACCUGGGUGGCAUUAGCAGUGG